RNAcentral lists this ribosomal RNA (253 nucleotides) under uncultured bacterium. RNAcentral's name for it is "partial 16S ribosomal RNA". It matches the Rfam family "Bacterial small subunit ribosomal RNA", at positions 524 to 776 of the family's 1533-position model. The record is from RNAcentral.
UACGUAGGUGGCGAGCGUUGUCCGGAUUUAUUGGGCGUAAAGCGCGCGCAGGCGGUUCGCUCCGUCCGGUGUGAAAUCUCCCGGCUCACCUGGGAGGGUGCGCUGGAGACUGGCGAACUGGAGGCAGGGAGAGGUCGGUGGAAUUCCCGGUGUAGUGGUGAAAUGCGUAGAGAUCGGGAGGAACACCAGUGGCGAAAGCGGCGCACUGGACCACAACUGACGCUGAGGCGCGAAAGCGAGGGGAGCAAACAGG